RNAcentral lists this ribosomal RNA (465 nucleotides) under Vreelandella stevensii. Its description in RNAcentral is "partial 16S ribosomal RNA". It matches the Rfam family "Bacterial small subunit ribosomal RNA", at positions 338 to 795 of the family's 1533-position model. Lineage: Bacteria; Pseudomonadati; Pseudomonadota; Gammaproteobacteria; Oceanospirillales; Halomonadaceae. The record is from RNAcentral.
CCUACGGGUGGCUGCAGUGGGGAAUAUUGGACAAUGGGGGGAACCCUGAUCCAGCCAUGCCGCGUGUGUGAAGACGGCCCUCGGGUUGUAAAGCACUUUCAGUGAGGAAGAACGCCUGGUGGUUAAUACCCAUCAGGAAAGACAUCACUCACAGAAGAAGCACCGGCUAACUCCGUGCCAGCAGCCGCGGUAAUACGGAGGGUGCGAGCGUUAAUCGGAAUUACUGGGCGUAAAGCGCGCGUAGGUGGCUUGAUAAGCCGGUUGUGAAAGCCCCGGGCUCAACCUGGGAACGGCAUCCGGAACUGUCAAGCUAGAGUGCAGGAGAGGAAGGUAGAAUUCCCGGUGUAGCGGUGAAAUGCGUAGAGAUCGGGAGGAAUACCAGUGGCGAAGGCGGCCUUCUGGACUGACACUGACACUGAGGUGCGAAAGCGUGGGUAGCAAACAGGAUUAGAUACCCUGGUAGUC